UGAUUUUGUGAAUUUAAAUUUUUUUAAAAAUUGUCAUUUCCCCAAGUUUAUGUAGGUUUUGUUUGAAGUCAGUGAACCACAAAUGAGACCACUCGAGUAGUAGAAGAAGCUUCUUAUAAAAACUAAUAACGUUGAACCAAUAACCAAUGUUAACUACAAAUGGCUGAAUUUUCUUUUAGCUUUCGUCUUAUUUGUUGAAUUCUUUUUUUAUUUAUGUUGUUUACAUAACUUAAAAAUAGAAUUAUUUUUGCUGAUUGACCACUACCUUGCUGAUAGUCUUGGUCCUAUAGAAAUGGUCUUUGGUCUCGUUUAUUUGUCUGUGAUGUAGUGAGGGAAGUGGUAAUUAAGGUUAAGGCACCACUUCUUUGAAAUGGCCUAUAGUUAGAUUUUGUUACUUGUAUUAUUUUAUGGUGAGCGAUAUUGCCGAUAUAUAUAAAAUGAUUUUUUUUUUAAAAGAAUGCUCAUUCCCCAAGUUAAGAUAUUUUUUUUUUUGAAGGGAGUUAACGGAAAUGUGGAAGAAGUUUCUCACAAAUUAUUAGGCAAAAGUUAGAGGAGUGGAUCUGCUUAUUGAGAAUUUUUUUAGUUAAGCAUUCACCAAGGGCAAGCACCCUCUUAAUUAAUUAAUAAUUGAAGUAUUCUGUGCUAAGCAUUGAAAACCAUAAAUCUUGGAAAUCAACCCAUCUAGUUGUGACGCCUGGUUUAAUUAAUACCUAAGUACAUGGUUAAUGUGCACCAUUCAAGGUAUCUGCUAUUCAUGUGGUACCAUCUAUUACCAUGUUGCGAUAUAAUUUUCCUUUCUUCUAAUGAUUAUAGUACAUGUAGAUUUUCUUAUUGCUUUUUAUUGUCUUUGAUAGCUUUCUCAAUUAUGAUAAUUUGUUAAAAGGGUCUAAAAAGUGCAUUUAGUUGUUUAAUUAAAAAAUAUUAUAUUUUUUCUUUGAUAAGUUGAUUCCAAGAGUUUUUGUCUUAUUCACAUUACUGAUGGUUUUUCACAGUUCCGAACUGUUUUGUUUGUCUGUUUGUUUUUUUUUCCCUAUUUUUGGUAAGUUAUUAUCUUGAUUAGUGUUGUAUUUAUCAUAUGAUCUUCCAUGAUAACUUCUUGAUUGAUCUUUUUAAGUUAUUUAGGAGGGUUGGUCAUUACUCUUUUCUAUUUUGGUUAUUUCUUCAUUUUUCUUUUUGUAUUUUUAAAUUAUCAAUUAUUUUUACCCUUUUCUUAUUUUUGUCAUGAAUCUUUUAAACUUUUGCAAGUAUUUUUAAGCUUUCUUAGGUUAUUUAUUUAUGUUGUUCAUGAUUUUUUGAAUAUUGUUCAUUGCGCUUAGUGCACAAUUAGCCGCUGGCCUCUUUAUACACAGUACCUAUCUCAUCUACUUAUGAUUGUAGAGGUGUGAAAUCAUGGCAAAUAUUUUCCCUUUGUUGAUUUCAACAAACAAUUUGAAAUACCGAAAAGUUUUGGUUUUUUUAAUAGUAUGUUUUAGUUGAAAAAAAAAAAACAGUUAUUUGAAUCACUACUUUAAAAUUACACUUGUGAAAUCUAGUGAGCCAACCUAUAGAUUUGUAAAUGCAUGCAUGUUUAUGCAUUUUUUUUCUUGUUGAACAUUCUAGAAUGGGAAGUUCUCUUGACUAAGAAACUGGUUAAACUUCCAGAUUUUCGUAUGAUGUAGUUCUCCUUUUUUUAGUUUUCUUGUUUAUAUUUAUCUGUCUCUUACGAAAUAUGUUAUGGCCCAAGUUUAAUUCGCGGAUUCACUUGUUUUCUUGGCAUUUAACAACGUUCAUAGUGGCCCUUAAUUUUAAUUUCCAUUCUUGAACUUGCACUGAUUUGUUUUAUUACGUAAGAGAACAAAUUUGUUUGGCUGAUGAACUUGAACUGACUUGUAUUUUGUCUGUAGUGGUUGCUUCUUAUCUUUGUGGCAAAUAACCAUGGAUUUGAAUGAACUCCUUACUUCUACAUGUCUAUAUCAUGCAGGCAAGUUUAACUUCUUACGUCUAAUUUUGGAGUUCAACUUUGGGAAUCCUUUGCAACAUAGAGGAGCACCAUGGGCACCUAGGCUCCAGGAAAAAGCAGUUCUUUCUAACUCAUGCCAGGGCUGCCGCCAAUGCUUUCUUGACGGAUGAUCAGUGCCAUGCAUCAGAGGUUUCUGUCGUCGUUGCAGUUGAGCUUCGUCUUCUUAUCAAUGCAAAUCUUCUGAUGAGGUUGAUAGAAUGUUAUCUGAAUCAAGCCAUUUUGUUGAAAUGUUCUGGUCUAACAGUGCCGGAUGCUGUGGCUUGAUGUUUAAACUAGCCAAAGUUCUUCUGAUAAAAAAAUGCUGAUCCUGCUGUUCGCCCUCGAAUAAGAGCCACUAUUUCGAAAAUCAACCUACAGACAAGUGAAUUGCUCUGCAAAGAGUAACAAACUGAGAGAUGCAUGGACACUGCAGAUUGAACAAAAUCUGUUCAGGUAAGUUGAACUGUAUACCUUGAAUUGAUUUAAGUACAAUGAAUCUUCGAAUAAUGCAGGACAGGCAACUUUCUUAGACACUGGACAUUUUGAAAUUUUGUUGAUAUCUCUCUGUAUUGUGGAGAACACUGAAAAUAUCCAGGUUUUUGUACAUGCUGCGGCAAGUCACUCUUCAUGAACCAAGCUUGGCCGGGAAGUCAUGAGAAUUUAGAACAUCUGGCAAAGCAUCAUAUUGGAACUCAUAUUAAAUUAGCUAUUAUAAAUUAGUUGAAAAUGAAUGUGUAUUUAUUCUUUUCUUGAAUCUAUAGGCUUGUGAUCUGAGAAAGAUUGGCAAAGUAGAAAUGUUUCUAUUGUUGCAGAAGAUUUGUUCCAAGUGAUUGUAAUUUUUCCCCCUUUUUACC
Molecule: long non-coding RNA, 2832 nt
Organism: Dioscorea cayenensis subsp. rotundata (Guinea yam)
Lineage: Eukaryota; Viridiplantae; Streptophyta; Magnoliopsida; Dioscoreales; Dioscoreaceae
Exons: 2
Source: RefSeq, a predicted model, not a curated record